This 1270-nucleotide ribosomal RNA is filed under the name Triticum aestivum (bread wheat). RNAcentral describes it as "partial small subunit ribosomal RNA". The record is from RNAcentral. Lineage: Eukaryota; Viridiplantae; Streptophyta; Magnoliopsida; Poales; Poaceae.
CCCGUGUAUACUCCUCUUCACUUGCCUGCCUCUGUCUCCCGCAUCGCGAUCAGUCAUCUCCUCCCAGCCUCCCCCGCCUCGCCGGAGAUCACGAGAGGCGGCGCUCCACAUCCCCGCGAUGGACGCCUCCUACCGCCGCUCAGGUGCGGGCGGCGGCGGCGGCUCAGCCCCCCGCACCGUCGAGGACAUCUUCAAGGACUACCGCGCCCGCCGCAACGCCAUCCACCGCGCCCUCACCCACGACGUCGAGGAGUUCUACGCGCAGUGCGAUCCAGAGAAGGAGAACCUGUGCCUGUACGGGUACGCCAACGAGGCGUGGGAGGUGGCGCUGCCCGCGGAGGAGGUGCCCACCGAGCUGCCGGAGCCGGCGCUCGGGAUCAACUUUGCGCGCGACGGGAUGAAGCGCAGCGACUGGCUCGCGCUCGUCGCCGUCCACUCCGAUUCGUGGCUUGUCUCCGUAGCUUUCUACUAUGCCGCGCGGCUCACCCGCAACGACCGGAAGCGUUUAUUUGGCAUGAUGAAUGAUUUGCCAACCGUGUAUGAAGUCAUCUCAGGUAUGAGACAAUCGAAGGAGAGGGACAGAUCGGGUGGUAUUGACAACAGCGGUAGAAACAAGCUGCCAUCAAAGCAUACAGUCGAGGCGCCGCCACCACCACGUACAGAAAAUAACGCCAGGGAUGCCGAUGAAGGCUACGAUGAAGAUGACGGCGACCACAGCGAGACCUUAUGCGGAACAUGCGGUGGCAUAUACAGCGCCGAGGAAUUCUGGAUUGGGUGCGAUGUGUGCGAGAGGUGGUACCAUGGCAAGUGCGUGAAGAUAACUCCGGCGAAGGCGGAGAGCAUAAAGCAGUACAAAUGCCCAAGCUGCAGCUCCAAGAGACCUAGGCAGUAGCAGCGCCGCCUCCUUUUGGCGGGGGACGGCCCCCAUGGACGGGGGCCUUGAAGCAGCAGCAGCAGCGGUUGAGACUUUAGACUCCUUGUGCAAGGCUAACUACUACCGUCUUGCUAUGUUUACUGUACCUUUCGUUUCAGGUUUACAUAUGGUGAUGAUGCUAAUGCUUGUGAGGGAAGAUGACACACAUUUUCAAAGCCUUCUAAUGUUUCCAUGUCCUGAAGAGGAGUCAAAGGUGUAUGUUGCCGGGAAGGGAUAGUAGAAUGAUGAAAAUAUGUGUAACUUUUCAUGGGAAGUUCAUGUUCCAAUAAUCCGGGAGGUUUAUUUAUACUAUUCUAUCUAUGUUAAUAUAUGUAUUAUUAGUCUGUUCAGCUGUCA